Mirounga angustirostris (Northern elephant seal) is the source of this 4501-nucleotide long non-coding RNA. RefSeq lists it as uncharacterized. The transcript is spliced from 4 exons. The record is from RefSeq and is a predicted model, not a curated record. NCBI's taxonomy places the organism in Eukaryota, Metazoa, Chordata, Mammalia, Carnivora, Phocidae.
GCUGAGGCUCCUUGGGAAGGAAGUCACGUGGCUGAGCGCCGCGCUUCCCUCGGAGCCCCCGCCUCUUCUCGGGCUUCUCAGCCCCGCCCUGCUGAGCCGCCGACGCGGAGGAGCCGCCGCCUGCAGGUCUGAGGACUCCUACAGCUUUGGCAGAAAUCUGAAGAGGUUGGGAGUAGAAACUAUCAAAGGAAGAGAUAGGCUAAGCCACCAAUUCCUUUCCGUUUAGAGAAACUGAGGUCGGGAGAGGAGUAAGGGUGGCUUUAAAGAUUCAAUCCGUCUUUCACUUUACUGACUUCAUCUCUUAAUAACUUGGAAAUCUCUCCCACGUGUAUCUUCCAUUUAACUAAGAGACUACUUCCUGAAGGAGCUGGUAUUUGGGGCGAGCCUGGAAAGAUCAGGAUUCCGACAGGUGUCCUCUGCUCUGUGUGGAUUCUGUUUCCCUGUGAGCCUGGCUUGCAUAUAAUGCCGAAUUGCUACUGGUUCCUUCAACAAGCUGGUGGUCAGAUGGCUACGGGAGCCCAAGCAGAUGACACAAUCAGCAGAUUCUUUCGAGCAGAACUAAUGGAUGGGCUGGUCCCGGUGCCAAGCGGUCACUGACAGAAGGUACAGAGCCCACCGGCAUUGGGUCACAGCGAGACAUUGGGCCACACACCCAAACAGAGAGGAUUUCCAGCAUCGAGAGUCGUAAGUUUACAAAGCCGUAAGAACCGUGAAGAUUCCGGAAAGAACGCCCCCAGGAUGUCACAGCUAGCUUACAGCAGUGUUUCUCACAUGGUCAGAAAUACAUUUGACCUGGUGACCAGUGAGUGUGAGUGUAACAUAAACAUACACAAGGUUAAUAGAUACAUCUGUGUAAUUGAAACGGGAAUGUCAUGAUACAAUGUUACCCUUUCCAAAUGCUAUGUUGUUUUCCUUUCUAUUGUUGUUUUGGUAAAGCUGUUUUUGACCCACGAAAUUGGUCUAUGACCCACUAAAGAGUCACAACCUGUAAUUUGAAAAGUACCGUACACAUAAGCAAAAACUCCUUGUGCUAUCUCAUUCUGAACCAUCUAACUCACUUUUAAUUAUGUAGUAAAAUUUUCUGAAACUAAGUGUAAUCACCACUCUUGGUUCAAAAGGUCUCAUGUUUCAUGUAAAACCCUUUUCAGAAAACAAUUAUUUUCCCUGCUCCUCACUCUCCGUUUCUGCAUGCAUAGCUAGAGCGAAGCUGUUACACUGUAAGUUCUAUCACGUCAGUCCUUUGCAUGAAACCCUUCAGUGGCCCCUGGUUGCCAGUGAUAAUAAUAGCUAACACUCAAACACGCUUACCAUAUGCCAGGCCCUCUUCUAAACAUUUUACACGUUUCACUCAUUUGUUCCUCACAGUAGCUCUAGAAGGCCGGGUUAUUAUCAGACCCGUCUUACAAUGAUGAUGAGUAACCAGCACAAAGACCCGCCGCUAGUCAGAGGCAAGCUAGGAUUUGAACCCGAGCCACAGUCCAGUUCGAGUCAGCACUCUUGGCCACUGGGCCUCGCUCCCCUUGGCAGAGAACAGUGCUUAAAAUACUUUCCAAGCCUCAUCAUGCCACCCUGUGUGCUCCUGCCUCCUGACCAGUGCUGUGACCUCCCACAUGCACUUCCCUAUGCCUAGCAUGAGUCACCUCCUGCAUCUGAGCUUCCCUUCAGGUCUUCCUCACUCCUUUACACGGCCUUAGAUGUCCCCUCUGUGUUCCCACAGUACUCCGUUCCCUGCGCCCCUGCUCUCCCCCUCAUUCUGACACUGACUCCAUGCAAGGAGAUAGAGGAGCAAAAGUGACCAAGUCCUUGCCCUCAUGAGCUCAUAGUUCCCAAAAGGGGGUGAGGGGAGAAGGUAAUACAUGACUAUCUAGAAUGUCAGCUGGUGACAGUGUUAAUGAGAAAAAUAAAGCAGAGUAGAGGGGAUAGGGCGUGCGCAGGGCAAGGGCCAUGUGCCUAUUUUAUAUUGGGAGGGUAGGGGAAGGGCUCACUGAGGAGGUGACCUCUCAGCAGAGAUCAAAGGAAGAAAGAGACAGCCAUGUGGCUUUCAGGGGGAGGAAUAGUCCAUUAAAAGAGAACCACCAAUGCAAGCGCCUCGAGUGGAGAGAGUGCAUGGAGGGUUCAAGAAGAGUAAGGAGGCCAGUGUGGCUGGAACAGAGUGAGACUGGAAGAAAGUGAGUCAGAGAGGUAGGGUGCCAGAUGGCUCGGGGCCUUGCAGGUCACUUUGUCUUUUACCCUGUGUGAUCCACUAGAAGGCUCUGAGCAGAAGAGUAAUAUGUGAGCUUUCUAUUCCUGCUCUAAAAAUCACACAAAUUUCAUGGCUUAAAACAACACAAAUUGAUUGUCUUACAGUUCUGGAGGUCAGGAGUUAGACACAGGUCUCUCCUGGAUAAAAUCAAGGUGUUGGCAGGGCAGAGCUGUGUGUCUUCUGGGGGCUCCGGGGGAGAAUCUGUUCCUCGCGUUUUCUAGCUUCCAGAGACUCUCUUCAUCUUCAGAGCCAGCAAUGUACAUUUCUGUGACCACUUUUUCUGUGGUCACAUCUGCCUCUGACCACAGCCACGUCUAAGGAUUCAUGUGAUUUAGGUUGGGCCCACCUGAAUAAUCCAGAAUAGUCUCCACAUCUCAAGGUCCUCAAUCACAUCUGCAAAGUCCUUUGGUAGCAUAUUUAUAGGUUCCAGGGACUAGGACAUGAACAUCUUUUGUUGGAGAGGGAGGCAUUAUUCUGCCUACAACAAGUGACAUGAUCUGUCUUCAGUUUUAAGACGAUCACUCCGGGGUGGACACAGGGAGACCAGGUAGGAAGCCAUUAGGGUCAUACAGAUGAGAUCGAUGGAGUCCUGGGCCAGAGUGCUAACAGUAAGAGUGGAGAGAUGAGGUCAAAUUCUGGAUGUCUUGUGGACAUAGAGGUGACAUGAUUUGCUGAUGUAUUGGAUGUGGGAUGUGAGGGGAGAAGUCAAGGAUAUUUCCAAGGUUGAUACUCUCUCCCCUGCUUACAGUAUUUAACAGAGACACAACCUCUGGUGUUAUUUGUUAAACUAUCUCCCUUAAUUUAGUUAUUUAACUAAAUUAGUUAGUUUCGUUUUUAGACUAAGACUCCCCUUUAGACUGAGAGUUCAAAUCUGGAUUGUUCACUGUUGUAUUUUCACAUCACUGAGUGUGUAGAACAUAGCAAUACAGUUCGUAAUUACUGCUUAUUGAAAUAUUACCAUGUGUCAGGUGCUUUAUCUUAUUUAAUCAUUGGAACAGCCUCUAUUACUACCAUUAUUUACUACAUGAGGGAACUGAGGCCCAGGAAGAUUAAAUGACUUACAGAAGUAAAUAGAAGAGUCAGGAUUUAAAUCCACAUUGAGUUAAUAUAUGAAUUCAAAUUAAUCAAAAUAGCCUGACCACAUGUGGAAUGGGAGAUGGAGAAAAAAAACACAGGUUUAUAAAUAUUUUGGUUACAGCCAUAGACCAAUCAUGUCAAGAAACAACAGAAGUUAGCGCAACUGACUUACAAAUUCUUUUUUUUUUUUUUUUAAAGAUUUUAUUUAUUUAUAUGACAGAGAGAGACAGCGAGAACAGGAACACAAGCAGGGGGAGUGGGAGAGCGAGAAGCAGGCUUCCCGCCGAGCAGGGAGCCUGACGCAGGACUCGAUCCCAGGACCCUGGGAUCAUGACCCGAGCCGAAGGCAGACGCUUAACAACUGAGCCACCCAGGCGCCCUGACUUACAAAUUCUUAAGUAUAGUCAAUUUAGCUGUGGUUUGGUUACUACGAUGAGUGACACAGGUGAUAAUUUCAGAAAUGUUUUGUAACUACUCUGAAGGCGAAGAGGAGAAAAACAGAUGACAUCAGGCAGACCAUGGUGGUACAAUGAAAACUGCCCAGAUCUAAGAGGAGUCUCACUUCAGUUCCAACCACUUAUUAGCCAGUCUAUUUUGAGGUAUUUACAUCAUCUUUCUGAGACCAUCUCGACUAUAAAAAGGAUAUAUUUUCUACCUUAUUUACUUCAGAGCCUCUUGGGAGAAACUAAGUUUAUUCAUUUAAUAAAUACAGAGCAUUAUGUGUGCCUGGCAUUGCUGUGGACACCAGCAACAGGUCAUGAACAAAACAGACAAAAUCCUCACCGUCGUGCAGUUUGCAUUCUAGCGGAAAGGGAGACUGAUAAAAAUCAGAAUAGACAAUAGUAGAUAAAUGCUAUAAAGUGAUAAAUGCUAAAGAAAAACAAAACAGGACAGGGCUUAGUGAGUGAUCCAGGGAGGAAGUAACAUUGGACAGAGACUUGAAUAAAGAGAGAUCAAGCUAGACAAUAAUCUGAGGAAAAGGCAGUCCAGGCCGAGGGAAGGAACAGAAUUUGUGAAGUUCCUGAAGUCAGAAUGAUCUUGGGGUUCAUAUCUGAGGCACAGCAAGGAGCAAGCAGGGACAACGGUGGAUGAUGCUGAAGAGGUAGGCAGAGGCCCGCUCAUGCAGCCUUGCAGGCGAGGGCAGAAAGCAUGCAUUUUAUCGUGCUCAUGAGAGGAAGAAAA